CCUAUAAGACUGGAUAACUUCGGGAAACCGGAGCUAAUGCCGGAUAACAUUUGGAACCGCAUGGUUCUAAAGUGAAAGAUGGUUUUGCUAUCACUUAUAGAUGGACCCGCGCCGUAUUAGCUAGUUGGUAAGGUAACGGCUUACCAAGGCGACGAUACGUAGCCGACCUGAGAGGGUGAUCGGCCACACUGGAACUGAGACACGGUCCAGACCCCUACGGGAGGCAGCGGUAGGGAAUCUUCCGCAAUGGGCGAAAGCCUGACGGAGCAACGCCGCGUGAGUGAUGAAGGGUUUCGGCUCGUAAAACUCUGUUAUUAGGGAAGAACAAAUGUGUAAGUAACUGUGCACAUCUUGACGGUACCUAAUCAGAAAGCCACGGCUAACUACGUGCCAGCAGCCGCGGUAAUACGUAGGUGGCAAGCGUUAUCCGGAAUUAUUGGGCGUAAAGCGCGCGUAGGCGGUUUCUUAAGUCUGAUGUGAAAGCCCACGGCUCAACCGUGGAGGGUCAUUGGAAACUGGGAAACUUGAGUGCAGAAGAGGAAAGUGGAAUUCCAUGUGUAGCGGUGAAAUGCGCAGAGAUAUGGAGGAACACCAGUGGCGAAGGCGACUUUCUGGUCUGUAACUGACGCUGAUGUGCGAAAGCGUGGGGAUCAAACAGGAUUAGAUACCCUGGUAGUCCACGCCGUAAACGAUGAGUGCUAAGUGUUAGGGGGUUUCCGCCCCUUAGUGCUGCAGCUAACGCAUUAAACACUCCGCCUGGGGAGUACGACCGCAAGGUUGAAACUCAAA
This 789-nucleotide ribosomal RNA is filed under the name uncultured Staphylococcus sp. RNAcentral describes it as "bacterial SSU rRNA". It matches the Rfam family "Bacterial small subunit ribosomal RNA", at positions 129 to 905 of the family's 1533-position model. The record is from RNAcentral. Lineage: Bacteria; Bacillati; Bacillota; Bacilli; Caryophanales; Staphylococcaceae.